RNAcentral lists this non-coding RNA (24 nucleotides) under Arabidopsis thaliana (thale cress). Lineage: Eukaryota; Viridiplantae; Streptophyta; Magnoliopsida; Brassicales; Brassicaceae. The record is from RNAcentral.
UGGAAAUUUUGCAAUGAACGCUAC